RNAcentral lists this ribosomal RNA (116 nucleotides) under Spirochaetia bacterium. Lineage: Bacteria; Pseudomonadati; Spirochaetota; Spirochaetia. The record is from RNAcentral.
GCCGGUGAUUUAGCCGCGCGUGUCCCACCCCUUCCCAUUCCGAACAGGCAGGUGAAAGCGUGCGGUCCCGAUGAUACUUUCUGCCUCGGCGGACGGGAAAGUAGGGUUUGCCGGCU